GAUGAACGCUGGCGGCGUGCCUAAUACAUGCAAGUCGAGCGAACAGACGAGGAGCUUGCUCCUCUGACGUUAGCGGCGGACGGGUGAGUAACACGUGGAUAACCUACCUAUAAGACUGGGAUAACUUCGGGAAACCGGAGCUAAUACCGGAUAACAUGUUGAACCGCACGGUUCAACAGUGAAAGACGGUCUUGCUGUCACUUAUAGAUGGAUCCGCGCCGCAUUAGCUAGUUGGUAAGGUAACGGCUUACCAAGGCAACGAUGCGUAGCCGACCUGAGAGGGUGAUCGGCCACACUGGAACUGAGACACGGUCCAGACUCCUACGGGAGGCAGCAGUAGGGAAUCUUCCGCAGUGGGCGAAAGCCUGACGGAGCAACGCCGCGUGAGUGAAGAAGGUCUUCGGAUCGUAAAACUCUGUUAUUAGGGAAGAACAAAUGUGUAAGUAACUAUGCACGUCUUGACGGUACCUAAUCAGAAAGCCACGGCUAACUACGUG
This 497-nucleotide ribosomal RNA is filed under the name uncultured bacterium. RNAcentral's name for it is "partial 16S ribosomal RNA". It matches the Rfam family "Bacterial small subunit ribosomal RNA", at positions 28 to 507 of the family's 1533-position model. The record is from RNAcentral.